UGAGGAAUAUUGGACAAUGGGUGGAAGCCUGAUCCAGCCAUCCCGCGUGAAGGAUGACGGUCCUAGGGAUUGUAAACUUCUUUUGUACAGGGAUAAACCUGCCCUCGUGAGGGCAGCUGAAGGUACUGUACGAAUAAGCACCGGCUAACUCCGUGCCAGCAGCCGCGGUAAUACGGAGGGUGCGAGCGUUAUCCGGAUUUAUUGGGUUUAAAGGGUCCGUAGGCGGGCCUGUAAGUCAGUGGUGAAAUCUCAUAGCUUAACUAUGAAACUGCCAUUGAUACUGCAGGCCUUGAGUAAAUUUGAAGUGGCUGGAAUAAGUAGUGUAGCGGUGAAAUGCAUAGAUAUUACUUAGAACACCGAUUGCGAAGGCAGGUCACUAAGAUUUAACUGAUGCUGAUGGACGAAAGCGUGGGGAGCGAACA
Molecule: ribosomal RNA, 422 nt
Filed under: uncultured bacterium
Lineage: Bacteria
Description: bacterial SSU rRNA
Rfam family: Bacterial small subunit ribosomal RNA
Source: RNAcentral